UGUGUGUUAGUGGAAGCGUCUGGAAAGGCGCGCGAUACAGGGUGACAGCCCCGUACACAAAAAUGCACAUAUUGUGAGCUCGAUGAGUAGGGCGGGACACGUGGUAUCCUGUCUGAAUAUGGGGGGCCCAUCCUCCAAGGCUAAAUACUCCUGACUGACCGAUAGUGAACCAGUACCGUGAGGGAAAGGCGAAAAGAACCCCGGCGAGGGGAGUGAAAAAGAACCUGAAACCGUGUACGUACAAGCAGUGGGAGCACGCUUAGGCGUGUGACUGCGUACCUUUUGUAUAAUGGGUCAGCGACUUAUAUUCUGUAGCAAGGUUAACCGAAUAGGGGAGCCGAAGGGAAACCGAGUCUUAACUGGGCGUUAAGUUGCAGGGUAUAGACCCGAAACCCGGUGAUCUAGCCAUGGGCAGGUUGAAGGUUGGGUAACACUAACUGGAGGACCGAACCGACUAAUGUUGAAAAAUUAGCGGAUGACUUGUGGCUGGGGGUGAAAGGCCAAUCAAACCGGGAGAUAGCUGGUUCUCCCCGAAAGCUAUUUAGGUAGCGCCUCGUGAAUUCAUCUCCGGGGGUAGAGCACUGUUUCGGCAAGGGGGUCAUCCCGACUUACCAACCCGAUGCAAACUGCGAAUACCGGAGAAUGUUAUCACGGGAGACACACGGCGGGUGCUAACGUCCGUCGUGAAGAGGGAAACAACCCAGACCGCCAGCUAAGGUCCCAAAGUCAUGGUUAAGUGGGAAACGAUGUGGGAAGGCCCAGACAGCCAGGAUGUUGGCUUAGAAGCAGCCAUCAUUUAAAGAAAGCGUAAUAGCUCACUGGUCGAGUCGGCCUGCGCGGAAGAUGUAACGGGGCUAAACCAUGCACCGAAGCUGCGGCAGCGACGCUUAUGCGUUGUUGGGUAGGGGAGCGUUCUGUAAGCCUGCGAAGGUGUGCUGUGAGGCAUGCUGGAGGUAUCAGAAGUGCGAAUGCUGACAUAAGUAACGAUAAAGCGGGUGAAAAGCCCGCUCGCCGGAAGACCAAGGGUUCCUGUCCAACGUUAAUCGGGGCAGGGUGAGUCGACCCCUAAGGCGAGGCCGAAAGGCGUAGUCGAUGGGAAACAGGUUAAUAUUCCUGUACUUGGUGUUACUGCGAAGGGGGGACGGAGAAGGCUAUGUUGGCCGGGCGACGGUUGUCCCGGUUUAAGCGUGUAGGCUGGUUUUCCAGGCAAAUCCGGAAAAUCAAGGCUGAGGCGUGAUGACGAGGCACUACGGUGCUGAAGCAACAAAUGCCCUGCUUCCAGGAAAAGCCUCUAAGCAUCAGGUAACAUCAAAUCGUACCCCAAACCGACACAGGUGGUCAGGUAGAGAAUACCAAGGCGCUUGAGAGAACUCGGGUGAAGGAACUAGGCAAAAUGGUGCCGUAACUUCGGGAGAAGGCACGCUGAUAUGUAGGUGAAGUCCCUUGCGGAUGGAGCUGAAAUCAGUCGAAGAUACCAGCUGGCUGCAACUGUUUAUUAAAAACACAGCACUGUGCAAACACGAAAGUGGACGUAUACGGUGUGACGCCUGCCCGGUGCCGGAAGGUUAAUUGAUGGGGUCAGCGCAAGCGAAGCUCUUGAUCGAAGCCCCGGUAAACGGCGGCCGUAACUAUAACGGUCCUAAGGUAGCGAAAUUCCUUGUCGGGUAAGUUCCGACCUGCACGAAUGGCGUAAUGAUGGCCAGGCUGUCUCCACCCGAGACUCAGUGAAAUUGAACUCGCUGUGAAGAUGCAGUGUACCCGCGGCAAGACGGAAAGACCCCGUGAACCUUUACUAUAGCUUGACACUGAACAUUGAGCCUUGAUGUGUAGGAUAGGUGGGAGGCUUUGAAGUGUGGACGCCAGUCUGCAUGGAGCCG
RNAcentral lists this ribosomal RNA (1877 nucleotides) under Shigella sonnei. Its description in RNAcentral is "partial 23S ribosomal RNA". It matches the Rfam family "Bacterial large subunit ribosomal RNA", at positions 323 to 2188 of the family's 2925-position model. Lineage: Bacteria; Pseudomonadati; Pseudomonadota; Gammaproteobacteria; Enterobacterales; Enterobacteriaceae. The record is from RNAcentral.